UAGCUCACUAGUCGAGUCGGCCUGCGCGGAAGAUGUAACGGGGCUAAACAUACCACCGAAGCUACGGCUGCGAAUAUACCACCCAAACUAUUUUAAGAUUAACGUUGACGCACGAAGUGCCCAACGGUCAAGCGACCAACACGUUGAGUUGGC
Molecule: ribosomal RNA, 153 nt
Filed under: Pseudoalteromonas sp. HM-SA03
Lineage: Bacteria; Pseudomonadati; Pseudomonadota; Gammaproteobacteria; Alteromonadales; Pseudoalteromonadaceae
Description: partial 23S ribosomal RNA
Source: RNAcentral